This 901-nucleotide ribosomal RNA is filed under the name marine metagenome. RNAcentral describes it as "bacterial SSU rRNA". It matches the Rfam family "Bacterial small subunit ribosomal RNA", at positions 8 to 906 of the family's 1533-position model. The record is from RNAcentral.
AGAGUUUGAUCAUGGCUCAGAUUGAACGCUGGCGGCAGGCCUAACACAUGCAAGUCGAACGGUAACAUUUCUAGCUUGCUAGAAGAUGACGAGUGGCGGACGGGUGAGUAAUGCUUGGGAACUUGCCUUUGCGAGGGGGAUAACAGUUGGAAACGACUGCUAAUACCGCAUAAUGUCUUCGGACCAAACGGGGCUUAGGCUCCGGCGCAAAGAGAGGCCCAAGUGAGAUUAGCUAGUUGGUAAGGUAACGGCUUACCAAGGCGACGAUCUCUAGCUGUUCUGAGAGGAAGAUCAGCCACACUGGGACUGAGACACGGCCCAGACUCCUACGGGAGGCAGCAGUGGGGAAUAUUGCACAAUGGGGGAAACCCUGAUGCAGCCAUGCCGCGUGUGUGAAGAAGGCCUUCGGGUUGUAAAGCACUUUCAGUUGUGAGGAAAAGUUAGUAGUUAAUACCUGCUAGCCGUGACGUUAACAACAGAAGAAGCACCGGCUAACUCCGUGCCAGCAGCCGCGGUAAUACGGAGGGUGCGAGCGUUAAUCGGAAUUACUGGGCGUAAAGCGCACGCAGGCGGUUUGUUAAGCUAGAUGUGAAAGCCCCGGGCUCAACCUGGGAUGGUCAUUUAGAACUGGCAGACUAGAGUCUUGGAGAGGGGAGUGGAAUUCCAGGUGUAGCGGUGAAAUGCGUAGAUAUCUGGAGGAACAUCAGUGGCGAAGGCGACUCCCUGGCCAAAGACUGACGCUCAUGUGCGAAAGUGUGGGUAGCGAACAGGAUUAGAUACCCUGGUAGUCCACACCGUAAACGCUGUCUACUAGCUGUGUGUGUCUUUAAGACGUGCGUAGCGAAGCUAACGCGCUAAGUAGACCGCCUGGGGAGUACGGCCGCAAGGUUAAAACUCAAAU